GCCUUCGUAGCUCAACUGGAUAGAGCAGGCGGUUUCUACCCGUCAGGUUGUGGGUUCGAGUCCUACCGGGGGCA
RNAcentral lists this transfer RNA (74 nucleotides) under Acidimicrobiales bacterium. RNAcentral's name for it is "tRNA-Arg". It matches the Rfam family "tRNA". Rfam says of the family: Transfer RNA (tRNA) molecules are approximately 80 nucleotides in length. Their secondary structure includes four short double-helical elements and three loops (D, anti-codon, and T loops). Lineage: Bacteria; Bacillati; Actinomycetota; Acidimicrobiia; Acidimicrobiales. The record is from RNAcentral.